This 360-nucleotide ribosomal RNA is filed under the name Triticum aestivum (bread wheat). Its description in RNAcentral is "partial small subunit ribosomal RNA". The record is from RNAcentral. Lineage: Eukaryota; Viridiplantae; Streptophyta; Magnoliopsida; Poales; Poaceae.
AUGUGUGCUACGAAGAAAGAAGGAGGCUUGGGGUUUAGAGACGCCGAGGCUUUCAACCAGGCGCUCUUGGCCAAGCAGGCAUGGAGAAUCUUGAGGGUUCCCUCCUCGCUAUGUGCACGUGUAUUGAAAGCAAGAUAUUUCAGCGAUGGGGGGAUUAUGAAUGCAACUUGCCCAGAUGGCGGCUCAUACACGUUCAGAAGCAUUCUCCAUGGUAGGGAUCUGUUGAGAGAGGGAUUAGUGUGGCGAGUGGGAGACGGCUCCAGGAUCAACAUCCACCAUGAUCAAUGGUUACCAAGGAGCGGCAGCUUAACACCACUGGGUGUUGAGUAUGUCCCCGGAGUCACUAAAUUUGCCACCUAA